Molecule: unclassified non-coding RNA, 431 nt
Filed under: Hevea brasiliensis (rubber tree)
Lineage: Eukaryota; Viridiplantae; Streptophyta; Magnoliopsida; Malpighiales; Euphorbiaceae
Source: RNAcentral
AAUCUAGAGUAAGAGUCAUAAUACUUAGGAUUAGUAUAAGAGUUGCCGUUAAAAUUCCGCCGGCGACAAGGAGAAACUCUGAUCCGUUCAAAUAAACAAUCCUGAGGCCUCAAAACCUCAGUACCCAUAUCUUCUUCUUCUUCUUCUUUUGAUUUAACUUAAGAGAGACAGAAAAUAGAAAACAAAUUAAGAAAUGAAAAAAAUAAAAUAAAAUAAAACAAAAAAAAUAAUUAGAAUUUCCUCUGGCCUCUUUCUUCCUCACAUGGGUGAGGAAAGGAGGGAAGAGGAAAGGAUGAUGACGAAGAAGAAGAAGAAGAAGAUGAUGAAGAGAAAAGUUGGUGUGGUGUUUACAAGGCCUGUAAGGUUUGCUGUGAUGAUACAAGAGCUGUGGUGUGGCUAGAAACGAGGGAUGAUGGGGCUAAAUAUGACAG